This 444-nucleotide ribosomal RNA is filed under the name uncultured Gammaproteobacteria bacterium. RNAcentral describes it as "bacterial SSU rRNA". It matches the Rfam family "Bacterial small subunit ribosomal RNA", at positions 75 to 515 of the family's 1533-position model. Lineage: Bacteria; Pseudomonadati; Pseudomonadota; Gammaproteobacteria. The record is from RNAcentral.
AGCUUGCUANCUGCUGACGAGCGGCGGACGGGUGAGUAAUGCUUGGGAAUAUGCCUUUGAGUGGGGGACAACAGUUGGAAACGACUGCUAAUACCGCAUAAUGUCUACGGACCAAAGGGGGGGAUCUUCGGACCUCUCGCUCAUAGAUGAGCCCACGUGAGAUUAGCUAGUUGGUAAGGUAAUGGCUUACCAAGGCGACNAUCUCUAGCUGGUUUGAGAGGAUGAUCAGCCACACUGGGACUGAGACACGGCCCAGACUCCUACGGGAGGCAGCAGUGGGGAAUAUUGCACAAUGGGCGAAAGCCUGAUGCAGCCAUGCCGCGUGUGUGAAGAAGGCCUUCGGGUUGUAAAGCACUUUCUGCGAGGAGGAAAGGGUAGUAUUUAAUAAAUGCUAUCUGUGACGUUACUCGCACAAAAAACACCGGCUAACUUCGUGCCAGCAGC